CGGAGGGUGCAAGCGUUGUCCGGAUUUAUUGGGUUUAAAGGGUGCGUAGGCGGGCCUUUAAGUCAGUGGUGAAAGCCGACAGCUCAACUGUCGAAAUGCCAUUGAUACUGGAGGUCUUGGGUACAGUAGAGGUAGGCGGAAUUGAUGGUGUAGCGGUGAAAUGCAUAGAUACCAUCAAGAACACCGAUUGCGAAGGCAGCUUACUAUAGUGUAACUGACGCUGAGGCACGAAAGUGUGGGGAUCAAACAGGAUUAGAUACCCUGGUAGUCCACACUGUAAACGAUGAUCACUCGCUGUUGGCGAUAGACAGUCAGCGGCUUAGCGAAAGCGAUAAGUGAUCCACCUGGGGAGUACGCUCGCAAGAGUG
RNAcentral lists this ribosomal RNA (368 nucleotides) under uncultured organism. RNAcentral describes it as "bacterial SSU rRNA". It matches the Rfam family "Bacterial small subunit ribosomal RNA", at positions 526 to 896 of the family's 1533-position model. The record is from RNAcentral.